AAUCAACGCUGGCGGCGUGCCUCAGACGUGCAAGUCGAACGAUUAAAGCUCUCUUCGGAGAGUGUAUAGAGUGGCGCACGGGUGAGUAACACGUAAGUAAUCUGCCUUUGAGUGGGGAAUAACCCGGGGAAACCCGAGCUAAUACCGCAUAAUGCAGCGGCACCGCAAGGUGACAGUUGUUAAAGCGAGUAAUCGCGCUUAAAGAGGAGCUUGCGGCAGGAUUAGCUAGUUGGUAAGGUAACGGCUUACCAAGGCUACGAUCUGUAUCCGGUCUAAGAGGACGGUCGGACACACUGACACUGAAUAACGGGUCAGACUCCUACGGGAGGCAGCAGUCGGGAA
RNAcentral lists this ribosomal RNA (342 nucleotides) under uncultured bacterium. RNAcentral describes it as "bacterial SSU rRNA". It matches the Rfam family "Bacterial small subunit ribosomal RNA", at positions 32 to 361 of the family's 1533-position model. The record is from RNAcentral.